Molecule: ribosomal RNA, 168 nt
Filed under: Pseudomonas aeruginosa
Lineage: Bacteria; Pseudomonadati; Pseudomonadota; Gammaproteobacteria; Pseudomonadales; Pseudomonadaceae
Description: partial 23S ribosomal RNA
Rfam family: Bacterial large subunit ribosomal RNA
Source: RNAcentral
GAUAACCGCUGAAAGCAUCUAAGCGGGAAACUUGCCUCAAGAUGAGAUCUCACUGGGAACUUGAUUCCCCUGAAGGGCCGUCGAAGACUACGACGUUGAUAGGCUGGGUGUGUAAGCGUUGUGAGGCGUUGAGCUAACCAGUACUAAUUGCCCGUGAGGCUUGACCAU